GACGAACGCUGGCGGCGUGCUUAACGCAUGCAAGUCGAACGGAAAGGCUCCAGCUUGCUGGAGUACUCGAGUGGCGAACGGGUGAGUAACACGUGGGUAAUCUGCCCUGCACUCUGGGAUAAGCCUGGGAAACUGGGUCUAAUACUGGAUAUGACCUUUCUCCUUAUGGGGUUUGGUGGAAAGUUUUUCGGUGUAGGAUGAGCCCGCGGCCUAUCAGCUUGUUGGUGGGGUGAUGGCCUACCAAGGCGACGACGGGUAGCCGGCCUGAGAGGGUGAUCGGCCACAUUGGGACUGAGAUACGGCCCAGACUCCUACGGGAGGCAGCAGUGGGGAAUAUUGCACAAUGGGCGGAAGCCUGAUGCAGCGACGCCGCGUGAGGGAUGACGGCCUUCGGGUUGUAAACCUCUUUCAGCAGGGACGAGGCGUAAGUGACGGUACCUGCAGAAGAAGCACCGGCUAACUAUGUG
Molecule: ribosomal RNA, 467 nt
Filed under: uncultured bacterium
Lineage: Bacteria
Description: partial 16S ribosomal RNA
Rfam family: Bacterial small subunit ribosomal RNA
Source: RNAcentral